UACGUAGGGUGCAAGCGUUGUCCGGAAUUAUUGGGCGUAAAGAGCUCGUAGGCGGUUUGUCGCGUCUGCCGUGAAAGUCCGGGGCUCAACUCCGGAUCUGCGGUGGGUACGGGCAGACUAGAGUGAUGUGGGGGAGACUGGAAUUCCUGGUGUAGCGGUGAAAUGCGCAGAUAUCAGGAGGAACACCGAUGGCGAAGGCAGGUCUCUGGGCAUUAACUGACGCUGAGGAGCGAAAGCAUGGGGAGCGAACAGG
This 253-nucleotide ribosomal RNA is filed under the name uncultured bacterium. Its description in RNAcentral is "partial 16S ribosomal RNA". It matches the Rfam family "Bacterial small subunit ribosomal RNA", at positions 524 to 776 of the family's 1533-position model. The record is from RNAcentral.